UUCCUUAGAGUGGGGCCCCCAUGAAGAGUCUUCUCUACGCGUGCGUUGGGCACCACCUGGGGGACGACCCCAGCCCUCCUCUGCGGUUGCGCCAGCCUGGAAAACGUCGCGCCCCCGCCCCUAACGCAGUGAUUCCCUCCUGGCCUCAGGGUCCAGUGCAAAAAUUCACUUCCUUGGAGAUGGAGCCUUUUUCUCUGCAGCCUUCAAGAAAGCAGCUGGUGCAAAGAGGUCUUUCUAGAGACAUAACCUUGCGGAAAGGAAUCCCAAGUUUACCUGUGCACGUAUCAACGUCAGGCAACCCCCCUCCCCCGCCCACCAGGGCCGCCACUUCUUCUGUUUGUGGGCCAUCUAUGGAUUCUCGGAUCCCUUGUAGCAAUUCUGCAACAACACUAUCACCGCUACAGCUAUUCUAGAAAGUCGCUCUGGGAAGUGAGCCACAACUGUUUUAUUUAUCAAAUGGAUAGCUAGCUCCGGUGCCUUGUCAUUCACUGUCUCAUAUUUGCAAGCAACGUUACAAUUCUUAAAGGACUUUAGGGGGGAAGUAGUUAGUUCAAGGAAGAGCCAAAGCUGAUCAUUUCAUUGGAAUCUCCAACUGUCCUGUGUAAGAUGCGACUCCCAUAAAAUGGAAUGUGAGGGUUUCCCUGAGAGAGUUGCUGUGAGCGGAUGAAGCAGGAAAAGUGCUCCGUGCCUGGCUGGAGGUCCUCCGAGUGCUGGCAGCAGAAAAGUGCUUAUCCAGCAUGAUGCCCACAACGCACACAAGGCGAUGGUUUUAUAAAAUGCAAAGCUGGGCACCCAAGUAGAUAUCAAGACCACAAAGUCCGACGGCUUUGAAACCUACUCCAGCACAUUCUCACAUUCCUCUAUUUUACAGACAAGGGUAAUGAGCCCAAGAAUUACCGCCCUCCAGCUUCAGGGGAGUGAAAAAUGAAGGGUUGUUUUCCAAGUAAUGUGACGCCAGACAGCUGGCUCAACAGUCAACAGUGCCAGGCCUUCUGUGAAGGCCAGUGUCGGCCCCCACCUCCUUCUCACCACCGAAUGUCACGGUGCACCCCAAACCAGGGAAAUCUGUCCUUCUACAGGAUAUAUAACUGCGAGGGGAAAGCAGGUUUUACUGGCUUGUGGUUUCCUAGGCUCUUAGAAUGUUGAAUACAGCCUGUGCACUGGCAGCUGAAGAACUCGAGAGAAACCACGAUGUUGGAAUUGAUUAGUUCCUGUUGGUCCCCGUCUUCCGCCAAUAUCAGUACCUGUCUCUUGAUAAAUAGACACGUGAACACAGUCCCAACACAAGGUCCCUGACAGCAAGCAAUAAAAAUGUGCCUUGACCCACUGAAAUAAAUUGCACCAAAUGGAGUUAUUGUUUCCAUCUAUUAUUUAUUAGUCAUGUCCCAUGGAGCGACUGGUGAAAUAAAUAUUUUUUUUCCAUUGGAAAAUGAAUGUAUGACCUGUGAAGAAUAACUCCACAAUCAGAUGUAAUAACAAUCACAGAGCAACUAUUCUCCCUGGCUUGGACCAAAUUAAAUUCUCUCUGUCCUGAGCAAAAUUCCCUUUGCAGAUGAAUGUAUCUCUUUUCCCACUUGAUCUUUUCUCAAUUCCUACCUCAAAUUGUCUCUCUUUUCUGUUCUUUCCCUUUCUGGCCACCAGACCAAGUUAUCCAACAGUCCUCUCCA
Molecule: long non-coding RNA, 1667 nt
Organism: Felis catus (domestic cat)
Lineage: Eukaryota; Metazoa; Chordata; Mammalia; Carnivora; Felidae
Exons: 3
Source: RefSeq, a predicted model, not a curated record